UGCUUUGCGAGUGCUGGAAUUAAAGA
Molecule: non-coding RNA, 26 nt
Filed under: Rattus norvegicus (Norway rat)
Lineage: Eukaryota; Metazoa; Chordata; Mammalia; Rodentia; Muridae
Source: RNAcentral